Punica granatum (pomegranate) is the source of this 1242-nucleotide non-coding RNA. The record is from RefSeq and is a predicted model, not a curated record. NCBI's taxonomy places the organism in Eukaryota, Viridiplantae, Streptophyta, Magnoliopsida, Myrtales, Lythraceae.
CCCCAAAUUCUCUAAAUAAAAACGAUGGCAUCAAUAGAUUUAUGCCCUAACUUUGCUGCUCCUUCUCGCAGUUCUGCCCCCCAAUGUGAAGAUGGCUAGGCGAAAGAGUCAAAGAUCAGAGGCAUAGAGCUCUUGAUGGAGUCCAAUCAUGGACGCAAUAAGGAGCGGGAGAAGCAUAUCCCCAGUUUAGGAAAUCAACCUCGAGGGAAUCCCAAGACAAAGUGUGGAGACUUCAAUUUUUCUAACAGUUCAAAAAUGUUGAGCGGUCGUCACACAGGAUGAGGGGAUAGUCAGACAACCUCCGAGGCUGACAACGCUGAAUGGUGUAGGAGAAGGUUGUAUCUCCCGGCAGAGUGUUUCAACAACAACUCAAGCUUCAAACAGUCGUCUGAUCAAUAAUCGGAGGGAAACCUAGAGAAUGGCGAGCAUUCAAUAGAGAGUGCUCGGGAAUCUCAACCGCCACUUAAUACCACGACUGAGAAACAGUGGGAGCUCACUGCAUGUAUUGAGGACUCAUACCCACGGACUGGCUCAGGAGGCGGUGAGGGAGAAUUUCCAGCCAGAAGAGGACGUAACAGUUAAGAUGCUCCCCUCAGUGGAAGUGCAUAUCAUCAGCGUUUCGUCAAGUGCUGGUCCAGGCUAAAAACAGAAACGGUGGAAUAUGAUCUACAUAUAGUGCCUGUAUGCCCUAUGAGAUCCGACGUGGUUCCAUUUGGUGACCCUGCUAUGGAAUUGUCAUGGUCUUACAACCGACAAUGCUAUGAUUACCAUUCGUGACCGUAUAGCAAUACACCGACCUGAUGUGCCGGUGCUCACGAAGACCAGACUUUGUCUCAGCCGUGCACGGGAGUUUGCUGACAGGCUUCCAUUUGAUGGUUGGGAGGCUACUCCCACUAUUGGGCACUGGGGUGGCAUUCUACUUAUGUGUCGCUCUGAUUUUGUCCUAGUCAACACACUUGAAAUGGCUUUGUUUUUGAAAUGGAGGUAAGAAAUUCUACUUUGAAAUGGCUUUGUUUUUGCGAUAUACGCCAACCCUAGGCUAGAAGAAGGAAUAGUAUUAUGGAAUAACAUAGAAUCUAUUGCUUUGGUUCAUAAUAUGCCUUGGCGUGCAAUUAGUGAUUUUAAUGAAGCUCAAUGAUUCUGAGAAAUUUGGGUGUAAACCAGGACGCAUGUUUAUUGAUCUCAGGUUUGCUGAGGUCUUAGAUAAUUGUUCAUUUACGGAUUUGGGUUUUUCUGGUCCUA